RNAcentral lists this long non-coding RNA (3152 nucleotides) under Homo sapiens (human). Its description in RNAcentral is "non-protein coding lnc-NETO1-1:20". The record is from RNAcentral. Lineage: Eukaryota; Metazoa; Chordata; Mammalia; Primates; Hominidae.
UUUUUUGAGUCGGAGUCUCACUCUGUCGCCCAGGCUGCAGUGCGGUGGCGCGAUCUUCGCUCACUGCAGGCUCCGCCUCCCGGGUUCACGCCAUUCUCCUGCCUCAGCCUCCCGAGUAGCUGGAACUACAGGCGCCCGCCAUGAUGCCCGGCUCAUUUUCUGUGUUUUCAGUAGAGACGGGGUUUCACUGUGUUAGCCAGGAAAGUCUUGAUCUCCUGACCUCGUGAUCCUGACCUCGGCCUCCCAAAGUGCUGGGAUUACAGGCGCGAGCCACCGCGCCCGACAGCAGUUAUGAAGUUCUAAAAGCAAGUCUUAAUCAGGAAGUGUCCUUGAUCACCAACGGCUCGCCCAGGCAUGCUGGCUCUCUUCCACUUCCACCUUCCACCAUGGGAUGACGCAGUAAGAAGGCCAUCAGUAGAUGCCAGUCCCUCAACCUUGAACUUUCCAGACGCAGAACUUUAUGCCUCCAUUUUCCUCUGCUGCAUGGCCCCAGGAGAGAUUUUAAUUAGCUUUCUAACCUUGGUCCAGAUUGCACAUGCAAAUGGUAGAGGAUGCAACACCCCCGCUUGUGGAGCUGCCGCUUGUGUCUGGCAUGAAAAUUCACAAGAAGAGAGGAAAUACUGAGGAGAAAAUGGCAGAUUGUGUUUGCUGAAUUUGAUUGACGAAGAAGUCACCAUGAAAAUCACAGUGAACCAUUUGGAAAGCAAACUGCCAAAAAAUAAUAGUUAGUCAUGCUCUCAGGCUGGUAAUUGAAAGUUUUGUUCAAAUCGUACUUAAUAUUCAAUAAUUGUUUAACCAUACCACUGCUUAUCUUGGGAAUGCUGAUACUAUGGAGACAAUAAGAUAAGGUGGCUGCUGAAAAUCAGAUUUAGACACUACUUUGAUUAUAAUCAUUUUUUUUGUAUAUCCCAUGAAGGUAUUAUAUGUUAGUGGUUGUUCUAUGCUUAAUAUUUAUAUAGCAACAAAGAGUAAAUAAACUGCAAUUUAUACAUGUUAUAUUGUUGACCUAUGCUAAAAGUUAAUUACCAUAAUGAAAUGGUUUGGCUGUGUCCCCACCCAAAUCUCAUCUUGAACCCAUAAUCCCCAUGUGUCCUGCUGCUGGACCCAGUGGGAGGUAAUUGAAUCACAGGGGCAGUGUCUCCCACGCUGUUCUCAUGAUAGAGAGUUCUCAUGAGAUCUGAUGGUUUUAUAAGUGUCUGGCAUUUCCCUGCUUGUACUCAAUCUCUUGCCUGCCACCCUGAGAAAAGGUGCCUUCUGACAUGAUUGUAAGUUUCCUGAGGCCUCCCCAACCAUGUGAAACUGUGAGUCAAUUAAACCUCUUUUCUUUAUAAGUUACCCACUAUGAAGUAUUUCUUCACAGUAGCGUGAUAACUGAAUAAUACAUGUAACAAUUACAUGAACAAAUUAUUACAAGUUUGAGGUACAUCAGGUUUAAAUUAAGGAAAAAUGUUUAAAGAAUUUUCCUCCUCAAUGUUUCUUAGGGUCGAAGAGGCGUUUAUGUUUGUUUAUGAAUAGGUCCUCGAAGGUAAAACAUAGGCUUUAACAUUCUGAGGCCAAGGAUGGAGCUGUGUCUGAUUUAUAAAGUUUCAGACGCAGUAGAACAAUUGACAUGAGAAACUAGUCUUCCUCUGAGGCUGGUGAAGCUGCAGAUCAGCACACACUCAGACUUGGUACAGAGAAACAGACCAUUCUCCCAUUAGCCUUUGGUAUACUUCAGUCACCUGGGGUAGAGUGAUUUCUGUGAUUUCUAAACCUUCUGUCCUACUCAUCUUACAGGCCAUGUCCAUCCUCAGAACUCAUGCUUUCCUUUAUUGUAGCUUCUGUUCUACGACUCCUCUAAUACAUUUUUCUUAGGAGCUUCAUUGAGAUAUAAUUUAUAUCCCAUAACAUUCACAUUUGAAAUGUGGCAUCCAGUGUUUUUUAUUGUAGUCACAGACUUAUGCAACUAUCACAUCGAAUUUUAGAAUAUUUUCACCGCCCUCUGAAAAAAACUAAAUAACAAUUAGCAGUAGCUCCCCGUUUCUUUUCUCUGCCAAACCACUAGCAACUAUUAAUCUAUUUUCUGUCUUUAGCCAUUUGGCAUUCCGAACAUUUAAUACAAAUACGAUCAUUUAAUAUGUGGUCAUUUGUUAGUUUGUUUCUUUUUAAAAUAUGGGCUUUUUGACUGGCUUCUUUCACUUUGCAUAAUGCUUUCAAGGUUCAUCCAGAUUUUAGCAGGUACACAUACUUCAUUCCUUUUUUAUGCCUGAAUGAUAUUUUGUGGUAUUUUUUGCUGUUAUGAAUAAUUCACUGUUUGGCCACCGUAAAUAUGCAUGUAUAAGUCUUUUGGGGACAUGAUUUUAUUUUGGAGGAUAGAUACUUAGAUGUUGAAAUAUUGGUUCAUAUAAUAGAUCUGUGUUUAAAUAUUUGAGGAACACUUCUUGAUGGUAUUGUGACACAAAUCUAUUAUGCAUAUAUGUAUGUAUUUACAUUGAGUAUGCUUUUGGUGUAAUAUCUAUCAAAGGUUAUGAAGAUUUACUGUUAUAUUUUCUUCUAAGAAUUUACAAUUUUACCUCUUACAUUUGUCUCUGUGAUUCAUUUUUCAGUUAAUUCUUGUGCAUGGUGUGAGGUAGGAGGACAAUUUCAUUCUUUUUUGUGCGACAAUUCAGUUUUCCCAGAACUAUUUAUUGACAAGUCAAUAAAGUGAAUUGUAGCAUAGAAAAUAUUGCAUUGAAUUAUCUUGGCACCUGUAUCAAAAGUCAGUUGAUCAUAAAUGUAAGAAUUUAUUUCUGGAACCUUAUUUCUAUUCCAUUAGUUGAUAUAUCUCUCCUUGUGUUAGUACCAUAAUGUCUUAAUUGCUAUAGCUUUGUAUUAAGUUUUGAAACAGGGUAGUAUAUGUCCUUCACCUUUGUUCUUUCUUGCCAGGUUGUUUUGGCUGUUGUGGGUUUCUUGCAUUUCCAGAUGAUUGCAAAGAGCUGUUUCUCAAUUUCUGCAACAAGUGCCAGCUGAAAUUUUGGUACCAGUUUCAUUAAAUAUGUAGAACAAUUUGAGCCUGAGUGAGUUCUGUGGAGCCCAUACUACCUGCGAUUCAAGCCAGCAACCUUGGAAUCUCCCUGAACAAUUUCUAUGGUGUCCAAUCACAUUUGCAAUCACUCCCCACACUCAGACUGUGU